RNAcentral lists this ribosomal RNA (494 nucleotides) under uncultured bacterium. RNAcentral's name for it is "partial 16S ribosomal RNA". It matches the Rfam family "Bacterial small subunit ribosomal RNA", at positions 28 to 507 of the family's 1533-position model. The record is from RNAcentral.
GACGAACGCUGGCGGCGCGCUUAACACAUGCAAGUCGAACGGAAAGGCCUGCUUUCCCUUGUGGAUUGCGGGUACUCGAGUGGCGAACGGGUGAGUAACACGUGAGUGAUCUGCCCCCAACUUGGGUAUAAGCCUGGGAAACUGGGUCUAAUUCCCGAUAGGACUGCAGGGUGGUGCCUGUGGUGGAACACGAUUUUCUAGUGGUUGGGGAUGAGCUCGCGGCCUAUCAGCUUGUUGGUGGGGUAAUGGCCUACCAAGGCGGCGACGGGUAGCCGGCCUGAGAGGGUGGACGGCAACAUUGGGACUGAGAUACGGCCCAGACUCCUACGGGGGGCAGCAGUGGGGAAUAUGGCACCAUGGGCGGAAGCCUGAUGCAGCGACGCCGCGUGGGGGAUGACGGCCUUCGGGUUGUAAACUCCUUUCGACCGCGAGGAAGCCACCUGGUUGGAAGGGUGGUGACGGUAGUGGGAGAAGAAGCACCGGCUAACUACGUG